GAUGAAGAACGUAGCGAAAUGCGAUACUUGGUGUGAAUUGCAGAAUCCCGUGAACCAUCAAGUCUUUGAACGCAAGUUGCGCCCGAAGCCAUCAGGUUGAGGGCACGUCUGCCUGGGCGUCACAUAUCGUUGCCCAAUGCCUAUUGCAGUGCAAUAGGAAUUUCUAGGGCGAAUGAUGGCUUCCCGUGAGCGUUGUUGCCUCGCGGUUGGUUGAAAAUCGAGUCCUUGGUAGGGUGUGCCAUGGUAGAUGGUGGUCGAGUUAGAACGAUACCGAUCAUGUGCAUGCUCCCCAAAAUAUGGCCUCUAUGACCCACACGCGUCUUUUGACGCUCAUGACGAGACCUCAGGUCAGGCGGGGCUACCCGCUGAAUUUAAGCAUAUCAAUAAGCGGAGGA
RNAcentral lists this unclassified non-coding RNA (395 nucleotides) under soil metagenome. RNAcentral describes it as "partial contains 5.8S ribosomal RNA, internal transcribed spacer 2, and large subunit ribosomal RNA". The stretch from base 1 to 122 matches the Rfam family "5.8S ribosomal RNA", at positions 35 to 154 of the family's 154-position model. The record is from RNAcentral.